Molecule: ribosomal RNA, 850 nt
Filed under: uncultured bacterium
Lineage: Bacteria
Description: bacterial SSU rRNA
Rfam family: Bacterial small subunit ribosomal RNA
Source: RNAcentral
AGAGUUUGAUCCUGGCUCAGGAUGUACGCUAGUUACAGGCUUGACACAUGCAAGUCUAGGGGAAACGAUAUUGGAAGCUUGCUUCCGAUAGGCGUCGACCGGCGCACGGGUGAGUAACGCGUAUCCAACCUGCCCAUCACUUGGGAAUAACCUUGCGAAAGUAAGACUAAUGCCCAAUGACAUUUAUAGAAGGCAUCUGAAAUGAAUUAAAGAUUUAUCGGUGAUGGAUGGGGAUGCGUCUGAUUAGCUUGUUGGCGGGGUAACGGCCCACCAAGGCGACGAUCAGUAGGGGUUCUGAGAGGAAGGUCCCCCACAUUGGAACUGAGACACGGUCCAAACUCCUACGGGAGGCAGCAGUGAGGAAUAUUGGUCAAUGGGCGAGAGCCUGAACCAGCCAAGUAGCGUGCAGGAAGACGGCCCUAUGGGUUGUAAACUGCUUUUAUAGGGGAAUAAAGUGAGCCACGUGUGGUUUUUUGCAUGUACCCUAUGAAUAAGGACCGGCUAAUUCCGUGCCAGCAGCCGCGGUAAUACGGAAGGUCCGGGCGUUAUCCGGAUUUAUUGGGUUUAAAGGGAGCGUAGGCCGGAGAUUAAGCGUGUUGUGAAAUGUAGACGCUCAACGUCUGCACUGCAGCGCGAACUGGUUUCCUUGAGUACGCAUAAAGUGGGCGGAAUUCGUGGUGUAGCGGUGAAAUGCUUAGAUAUCACGAAGAACUCCGAUUGCGAAGGCAGCUCACUGGGGCGCAACUGACGCUGAAGCUCGAAAGCGCGGGUAUCGAACAGGAUUAGAUACCCUGGUAGUCCGCACGGUAAACGAUGGAUGCCCGCUGUUGGGCCAACUGGUUCAGCGGCC